UGGGGAAUAUUGCGCAAUGGGGGAAACCCUGACGCAGCGACGCCGCGUGAGCGAAGAAGGCUUUAGGGUCGUAAAGCUCUUUUGUAAGGGAAGAAUGUCGUAGGUGAUAAUACCACCUAUGAGAGACGGUACCUUACGAAUAAGCCCCGGCUAACUACGUGCCAGCAGCCGCGGUAAGACGUAGGGGGCGAGCGUUGUCCGGAAUUACUGGGCGUAAAGAGCGCGUAGGCGGGUAAUUAAGUCAGGUGUGAAAGACCGCAGCCUAACUGCGGGGUUGCACCUGAAACUGGUUAUUUUGAGGGCAGGAGAGGGCAGGGGAAUUCCGGGUGUGGCGGUGAAUGCGUAGAAAUCAGGAGGAACACCAGUGGCGAAGGCGACUGUCUGGACUGACCCUGACGCUGAGGUGCGAAAGCGUGGGUAGCAAACAGG
Molecule: ribosomal RNA, 429 nt
Filed under: uncultured prokaryote
Also listed under: 1 other name
Description: bacterial SSU rRNA
Rfam family: Bacterial small subunit ribosomal RNA
Source: RNAcentral